This 706-nucleotide long non-coding RNA is filed under the name Vigna radiata. RNAcentral describes it as "long non-coding RNA (VRAD_LNC003038)". Lineage: Eukaryota; Viridiplantae; Streptophyta; Magnoliopsida; Fabales; Fabaceae. The record is from RNAcentral.
GAAAGCAAAGAAAAGGUUAAGGCUCAAAUUAGGGUGCAAUGGAAAGAAGUAGAUGUGAAUGGGAAGAAGAAAGAAGGCCUAGAUCAUCUCUAAAGUUCUACCAAGAUCAAGCACACUCAAAGAGAAUUAAUGCAAAGUCAGAACUAUAGUUAUACAUGCAUGCAAUUACACUUAGAAAAAAUUGGCCCAAAACUCUCCAAGGUUAAAAAUUUGUCAAAAUUGAACUUGCUACUCUCUAUCAUGCAAAAACUACUUAUAUAGACUGAACUAAUUGCAAAAAUUACUGCUAGAGCUACAUUCACUCAAAUCUAGAGCUAAAGACCUAUUGGCAAUCUAUCUUAAAGAAACAAAACUCAGAAAUUACGUAAAUCAGCAAAAACUCAAGUAAAUUGUGAAACAAAACCUAGACAAAAUCUAACAUAACCUAGAAACACCUAAAAAGACCCAAACAGAAUUACCUAAGCUAUAUGCAAUAUGAACAGAUGGAAACAAAACAAUAUGCUACCUAAACAGAACCUACUCAACUAAAACAGAUUCAAAUAAGACCUACAACAACUCCUAACUAAAACUUCUAUACAAAAAGAAACAAUAAAAAGAGAAAAAAAAUGACCCAGCAAGAAGCAAUAAGAAACCUAAAGCAAUCAGAACAAAAAUGUAUAAAAGAAAACUAAAGGGAAUUUUAAGCAAAGACAGAAACAGAACCUAA